GACGAACGCUGGCGGCGUGCUUAACACAUGCAAGUCGAACGAUGAAGGAGAGCUUGCUCUCCGGAUUAGUGGCGAACGGGUGAGUAACACGUGACUAACCUGCCCCUUUCUCUGGGAUAACGCUCCGAAAGGGGUGCUAAUACCGGAUACGAACUCUGAACACAUGUUCGGAGUUGGAAAGUUUUUCGGAAAGGGAUGGAGUCGCGGCCUAUCAGCUUGUUGGUGAGGUAACGGCUCACCAAGGCGACGACGGGUAGCCGGCCUGAGAGGGCGACCGGCCACACUGGGACUGAGACACGGCCCAGACUCCUACGGGAGGCAGCAGUGGGGAAUAUUGCACAAUGGGCGAAAGCCUGAUGCAGCGACGCCGCGUGAGGGAUGGAGGUCUUCGGAUUGUAAACCUCUUUCAGUAGGGACGAAGCGAAAGUGACGGUACCUAAAGAAGAAGCACCGGCUAACUACGUGCCAGCAGCCGCCGUAA
Molecule: ribosomal RNA, 481 nt
Filed under: uncultured bacterium
Lineage: Bacteria
Description: partial 16S ribosomal RNA
Rfam family: Bacterial small subunit ribosomal RNA
Source: RNAcentral